Molecule: transfer RNA, 73 nt
Organism: Cavia porcellus (domestic guinea pig)
Lineage: Eukaryota; Metazoa; Chordata; Mammalia; Rodentia; Caviidae
Rfam family: tRNA
About the family: Transfer RNA (tRNA) molecules are approximately 80 nucleotides in length.
Source: Rfam
AGGGAUUUAGCUCAGUGGCAUAAGCGCCUGCCUUGCUAGCAGGAGGCUGUGAGUUCAAUCCCCAUCCUCCCCA